CUGGAAAUAGGUGAUCUGUCUCAGUGCGGCUGCUGGCUUCCUGGAGCUCUUGCCUCUCUGGAAGGCUGAGGUCAUGUCAGCCUCAUGACAAUGAGGCUGAGCAUCUGGGCAGGAGGACAGGGGUCUUAUCCUGGCCAGAAGCCAGCAGGGAACACUGAUGGGAUAGCCCCGGUUUUAUCUGUGUCUCUCCCCAGGGAGCCAUCCUCACCACCAUGCUGGCCACACGGAAUUUCUCAGUGGGCAGACAGACCACCGCUCCGGCCACAAUGUCCACCGCGGCCUCCGGCACCACCAUGGGGCUGGUGGAACAAGGUAGAUGUGUCUCGACCAGUGUCCCGCCCGC
RNAcentral lists this long non-coding RNA (343 nucleotides) under Pan troglodytes (chimpanzee). RNAcentral describes it as "long non-coding RNA NONPTRT015595". Lineage: Eukaryota; Metazoa; Chordata; Mammalia; Primates; Hominidae. The record is from RNAcentral.